CUUAAAAGACACACCCUCGUCCACUUACCCUUGCCUUAUACCCUUACGGGAAACACCGUCGCCAUCUUGGUGGGUGGUCCAAAUGAUUAGCCAAGCAAGGGACGUUUGCAACGUAAGCCCCUCAGCCCUCGUUUUUAGUCGGCUUUGCGAGUGAACAAUUAUGUUCACUCCGGGGCCUGAAACUCCCCAUAAUUAAAUUCGCGACGAUUGUACAAGUGGCGUCACUACAGUCCCUGGUUCAAAUCCAGGCUGUAUCACAUCCAGCCGUGAUUGGGAGUCCCAUAGGGCGGCGCACAAUUGGCCCAGCGUCGUCUGGGUUAGGCCGUCAUUGUAAAUAAUACUUUUUUCUUAACUGACUUGCCUAGUUGGAUCAAGGUUAAAUACAUUUUUUUUUAAAGUCCGUGAAAACUUAAAAACAACAUCAAUGGAGAAGUCAACAUACAAGUGGUGGGCGAAAACAGUUGGGUGCUGUGGAAUCAGUGAAGAUUGGUGGACCGGAAACCCAGUGACAACACUCGGGUCUGCAGCUGACAUUUUCCGUUGGGAAAGAGAAAUGGCCCUGUAUUUGCCAGAAAAUGUUGCUCAUCCAUCAUCGCAGAAGAGGAAUGGCAGAAGAGGUAGAUCCAGACACAUUCAACAUGGCAGACGAAGUUCCAGGCGCCUCGGCCACUGAAGAUUGUAGGAGGCUGCUGUCUACACCGCUGCGGAAUGUUCUCACUGAGGUGCAUCUUGAGGAAACAGCGCCGUUGAAGGUUCUACAAAAUACCUGCAACAGGUAUUCAGCAUCCCAGCUGUCUGGUAAAGUACUUAGAAUGGAAACAGGACUUCCAGACAAAGACAUGUUCAACAUCGUUGUUGAAUACUUGGAAUGUUAAAAGGACUGCGUUGUCUACUUUGCCAAGUGGAGGGUGAAGAUGCUGUCCUUUGAGGAUCAAGUGUUUAUGGCUCUUAUGAAGUUGCAUCACAGCUACACCAACUUGCACCUGACUCAACUAUUCUGUUGUAGUGCAAUCACUGUCAGCAAUGUUACCAUUGCUGACACGUGAUCCACAAGCUUUUUUUCAUUAGCAUCAUGAAGACUUCCAAGUCGGGAGAAGAACCAAACGCGCUUGCGUCUUUUCAGGGGUCCAGAGGGAACUGCAGGAUGGUCAUUGACUGUACUGACAUGUAAGUUGCUACUCCAAGUCAGAUGGAUCUGCAGAAGCAUACCUAAUCUGUGUACCAUUCAAUGCACUCCUUCUAGCUAACUUAAUACAGUGAUAUCAUACUGCAGUUAUCUAUCGGACAAUGCCAGAAGUCGCGGUUUGUCCAGAAUGUCCAGAAGUCGCGGUUUGAGAACAUUUUCAUGUCUUCAUGUCUGGAGACAUGAUUUUUGUCAGACAAAGGCUUCUUUUUUUUACCUGUUUUUUUCUCCCCAAUUUCGUGGUAUCCAACUGGUAGUAGUUACAGUCUUGUCUCAUCGGUGCAACUCCUGCACGGACUCGGGAGAGGCGAAGAUCGAGAGACAUGCGUCCUCCGAAACCCAACCCAACCAAGCCGCACUGCUUCUUGACACAACACGCAUCCAACCCGGAAGCUAGCCGCACCAAUGUGUCUUGAGCUUGACGCGUGCAGCAAUUACUGUGAACAUUCCUCCAUUCCUGAACCACGAAGGUUCACAGAGCGUGAGAUGCGUCUCACAAAAAACAUAGUGAGAAACGGGAUCCAUGUUAACAGGGCAAAUGCUUGACUAAAAUAUGUAAAAAUCCUGAAAUUCAUCCCACCUUGUCUGCGUUAUAGUAAUAUGCUGGUGCAGACUUGCUGUGCACUUGUUAACCUCCAAAACACACUCAUCAGAGAAGUAGCUGUUGGUUGGGAAACGAGAACAACGAGGCAGGAGGGUUUGGUGUUGAGGGACGAUUUGUCACAUUGUCGAAGGAGUGCCUCCCUCAGACCAUCCGGUGCAUGGACAUCCUGUGCCAGUGUGAUGUGGUCGUGGAGACUACAGUACAUCGAGCCUGUGGACGAACAAACGUGACAUGCGGAACAUCAGGCUCACCCCACGAGAAGUAUGAUCAAUGCCACCCUCAGCAAGGAGAAGUGAUGUCUCUCCCAUCCUGCAUUUACCAGAAACUGAAGCUCCACACAACAAAGGGGAAAUGAGGUGUGGCUUGCGGAACAUCCUGCUCACCCCAUGAGAAGCAGAGCAUGAUCAACGCCACUUGCAGAAAGGAGAUCUUCUGGAAUGGAUGUACUCUCACUCUGGGGGUAGAGGCAGGGAUGACUGGGUUCUUCAGCAAGUAAGACACGGGGUAAGAAAUAAUUUUAACAUCACAGAUAUAAAUUCCCAAUGUGCCCAUGAUAAAGUUAACUACAUUACUUUAGUUGGCUGCUUUCAGCAAAAAUUGUAUGUAAUGUAACCUAUUCUGGGAGACUAGUGUAUGUAUGUACAAUAUUUUUGGACCAUUGGCUUCCCUGAAAACGGAGACUGACAGGAGGAUCAAUAGGAGUCUGCCAGAGGUCGUCACGCUGGAUGGUGAUGGAGGUUUUGGUGGUCCACACAACGAAGAAGCAGGUGUCCCUUCAAGUGACGUGGAGUUGACCUUGGACCAAGUGCCAGUAAGGAUGGUUCUUCACGGAGGCUGUAAGACCCUUUCUUCUGGAUAUAGAAAUCCUUCAACUUCACUGCCUCUUCAAUGGUAAGGUCCCCUUGCACCAUAGGGGCAUUUGACCUCCACCAAUGCUGUGGUGCCCACCAGACCAUCUGGUGAGGCACCCAGAAUCCCAGAACCCGUGACCCAAAGCCCAGACUCCUGCACAUCCAUCCCUGUAGCCAUUUUUUUGGAAUAAAAAGAUAAAUAAAAAAUUAUCCCCUUUUCUCCCCAAUUUUCGUCGUAUCCAAUCGCUAGUAAUUACUAUCUUGUCUCAUCGCUACAACUCCCGUACGGGCUCGGGAGAGACGAAGGUCGAAAGCCACGCGUCCUCCGAAGCACAACGCAACCACUGCUUCUUAACACAGCGCGCCUCCAACCCGGAAGCCAGCCGCACCAAUGUGUCGGAGGAAACACCGUGCACCUGGCCCCCUUGGUUAGCGCGCACUGCGCCCGGCCCGCCACAGGAGUCGCUGGAGCGCGAUGAGACAAGGAUAUCCCUACCGGCCAAACCCUCCCUAACCCGGACGACGCUAGCCCAAUUGUGCGUUGCCCCACGGACCCCCCGGUCGCGGCCGGCUGCGACAGAGCCUGGGCGCAAACCCAGAGACUCUGGUGGCGCAGCUAGCACUGCGAUGCAGUGCCCUAGACCACUGCGCCACCCGGGAGGCCCCCUGUAGCCAUUUUGAAUGCCUUGAUGCCCUCCUCUUUAUCUGUGCCCCACUUUACACACAACACCCCAUCCAACGACUGUGAACACCUUGAAAUGUAUGCAUUUUAAGAAAUGUGAUUUAAAAAUUGUUUGAUUUGAUUGAUGACUACAGCUGUAGAAUAUUUAAUAAACUGUAAAGUGCAGUUUUUCCAUAAACUUUUAAUUGAUAACUUGGGAUUUUGUCACUUGACAAAUCAAUCAUACAGUGGGAAGGAUCCUAUAAGUCAAGACUGUGUGGAUGCAUGUACCUCUCCGAAUAAAUAAAUACAAUAAAGUCUGUCUAAACAAAGUCAAUUCUGAAUGUCAAUUAGUUUUGGUUUAAUUCUCAUCAAUGACAACAUUCUAGAACUGAGUUAUCACUAAUCGAAGUCUGGUAUCCGGGGUAAUCUGGUUAUUGACUAUAUGAUAAAGUGUCUGUUUCCUUAUAGAAUGUUGACAGCUGUAUAGAACAAAUUGUAUUGCUAUGAUGCUCAAACUUAAUAGGUUGCAUGUUCAAAUCCAGCGAUAGAUUUUUGUUUUAAGCCUAUCCCAAACCUUAACCAUUGCGGUAAUGCCUAACCUUAAGUUUUCAGAGUUAAUGACUGAACUUAACCUUAAACACUUCAAAAUUUGACUUUUGAGAAACAUGGAUGAACAUCUACUUCUAACUUGAGACUGUGAGAGCCUGUUGGCUUUUUUUUGCAUGUGACUACUCAUGUUUGUUAAUAACAAAAACAUAAAUAAAUGUGCACAAUGAGCACUUGUUGUCUUUCAAAUACACCAUUAGAGUUGUUGGUUAGCUAGUUAGUGAAUUUUACAUGGAGAAAAUUGGGCUUCUGAAAUGAAAAUGGAUGGCCCUCCCUUCAGCAAAAUAUAUUUGACCUAAAACCUCCCUGAAUGCUUGGGGGGAAAAAAAGUGACCGUCCCCGAUACCCAAAAUAUUAAUUAAAACAAAGUUAAUAGCAGAGAACAUUUCUACCGUUUACCCUCACUUCUUGGACAGACCAGAGCCUUCGUCCUGUAAGCAUUACAUGGCAACGCAGGAAAUUUGAUCGCGCAGAGGGCUGCGGGUCAGAAGCUUGUGUGUUCGCAGACCACCAUGGACAAGAGUAGGGUUGGAAAGAUCUCCUUUAUAGUUAAAAGCAUUGCAUUCAUCUGUCACCAUAUCUGCAGGUCAGAGACAAAAAUUGACUUUUAUAAAAAAUUUCAUGCAAAUCUACGUCAUUUUACAUAUCAAAAUCUUUUUUUAAUACCACACAUUACCAAAUUACAAGCUAAGAAUGGACAGGAAGGGAGUCCUGUGUUCAUCUUAUCAUAC
This is a long non-coding RNA of Salvelinus fontinalis (brook trout), 4639 nucleotides long. RefSeq lists it as uncharacterized. NCBI's taxonomy places the organism in Eukaryota, Metazoa, Chordata, Actinopteri, Salmoniformes, Salmonidae. The transcript is spliced from 7 exons. The record is from RefSeq and is a predicted model, not a curated record.